AACGCAUAUUGCGCUCGAGGCUUCGGCCAAGAGCAUGUCUGCCUCAGCGUCGGGUUAACAUCACUCCCAACAAUCCAUAUGGCUUGUUGUAAGUGGAUCUGGCUUUCCCAGAUAGCAAUCUCGGUUGUUGUCUGGGUCUGCUGAAGAACAGAGGUUGAUGCAUAGACCCGUUUACGGGCCGCAGUUGGGUAGGCAGCUUCUUGCUUGCUAUCAAUAUCUUACUGUUGGCUUGGGUAGAUGCGCGCAACCCUCAAACCAGGAACUGUGCAUGCUCCUCACCGAGCAUGUGCUUCUUUUGUUCUCGACCUGAGCUCAGGCAAGAUUACCCGCUGAACUUAA
This 339-nucleotide unclassified non-coding RNA is filed under the name Odontia sp. Its description in RNAcentral is "partial contains 5.8S ribosomal RNA, internal transcribed spacer 2, and large subunit ribosomal RNA". The record is from RNAcentral. Lineage: Eukaryota; Fungi; Basidiomycota.